CAUGCAUUUAAACAAAUUGAUCUACUUCAUCUAAACUGUAUAGUUGUGUGUUUAAAGUUGUUGAGUUGCACUAAUCAUUUUUUGUUAUACUCAUGUUUUCCCCGAGGCUGCAUAUAUUAUUCAAAAAAGAAAAGCAGGUUUAUUUAGCUGUCACUGUAAAAAUGAGAUCUGUUUUAUUCAGGGUUUGUGAACAUGAAUGACACAUCUGGAUUUCUAGACCACUAAUGAUAAACUCUUAUGGGGAUUUGCACUGACUACAGCCACCAUCCCCACUUAACUGAAUUUCUGUUCAGCAGGCAAAAAGAGUCCAUAGGAAGUUGUGGAGCAAGGAGGCCCUGGGGAGAAGAGGCAUCUAAGACCAACAGUGGAAGUUGUAAGGAUGGAUCCCAUGGUUUCAGUGCUAAUUGAUGGAAAGGCCUCAAAAAGGAGCUUGGCAUCCAUAUGUUAAAAUAAUUGAGUCAGAGCAAGGGAGACUCCUGAUGUCCAGGAAGAUCCAGAUAUACUCCUGGCUGGAACCCAUGCGGAGAAGCCCGAGCCAAUAUAUCCACUCAAUCCUGCAGCUGUUUGAGUUCACACAACCAAUGCCUUGUAGUGAUGACAGCAUCCACAGAACAAAGGGCCAUCUGGCUGGCUGUCUAUUGGUUUGGUCCAUCUCAGCUCUGAAUUCACAUUGGAACAACCCUUUUUAUGAAUCUAGCACCUUUCUGCUCUCCUUGCUUUGGAGCUACAUUUCACUAAUACAACAAGAAAUAGCACAGUAGUUGAAAGCAGAUGGUGAUUCCCCCAGUCACCUCUUCCAGCCUUUGCUGUUGCCAUGGGGAGGCACCAUGGUGGCAUCUUGGGAGAAAUUGCCCUCUUAUGAUGAUGAUAUGCAGGGUUGUUGCUUAUUGGACACAGAGUCAUGCUGGGAGGCUAGGCUUGGAGUGGGGGUCUUCUCAUGCAGGAAGCAGAGUCUAAUAGAAGGCAUGCUGGCCCUUCUGACACUCUGCUGCCCUGACCAUUUGGGUCAGGUGGCAAGUGUUCAUAGGGCAAAGGGAAGGUAUGAACAGUAGGCUCACUUGCACUCCUCUUUGGGAGCACAGGGAAAUUGGAAGGAUCCAUGGGGCAUGGGCAGGGUACAACCCUCCUUCACCCAGUCUUCAUGCAGCCUGUCCUGGCUUAUCUGCUGCUGGACCAUGUGGUGUGUAGCCAUCACAUCAUCGAACUUUCUUUUGGACAGAGACACUCCAGAAUUAUAUGGGUCAUAACCUGUGUCCAAGAGGAUUGUCAAUACUGUGGAGUCUGAGAGGUUGGGGCGGGGCACAUUAUGAUAGGCUAUGUACUUCGCAACUUGAUUUGGCCAAGUGUCCUCAAAGACUUCCUAACAAAAGCCUUGCUGUGGUGUCCACUGUCAGUAUUUCCUUGAUGAGUCUUUGUGCCUCAGCGGAGACAUGCUGGGGAAAGUCCAACUUUGGGAACAAGAUUUGUCUCCUUAGUACUGGCCACCCUAAAUAGGCAGCUCCCUUUCAACAUAAAAUACAGAAUGACACCCAGGCUCCAGCUGUCCACUGGGGGGUGGGAGGGUAUGUACUUACCCUUGGAUGACUUCCAGGGCAAGGUACUGGAAAGUGCCCCAGAACUUGGUCAGCUUCUGCCCAGGCUUGAACCUGAUGACUGUGCCAAAGUCAAUCAGUCUGAUGUUGCCUCUGGCAUCCAGCACAAUGUUCUCCGCCUUCAGGUCUCAGUGCAAGAUGCGCAUCUUAUGGCAGUAGCACAUGGCAUACAUGAUCUCCCUGAACAGUCUCUAGGCCUUCUCUUCCUGCAUGCCCCCAGGCAGAAUGAGGUGAUGUACCAGUUCUCUACCUGCAUGUUUCAUCACAAUGUAGACAUUUUUACAGCUUUCAGUAACCUGAAAGAGCUGGAUCACAUUUGCAUGGUUCAAGGUCAUCAUCAUGUCUAUUUCAGAGCAGUCCACCGAGUUCCUCUUUCCCUUUGGCAGGACGUUCAUCACCACUACUGUCCCACUGCAGAGAUGGUGGGAUAGUUUCACAUGACCAAACCCCCCUUGCCCAGUGUCCCUCAAGACCUCAUAAUAAAAAGGUUUCUCAUGAGAGUACUGGGGUCCCUCAAGACCUCAUAAUAAAGAGGCUUCUCAUGAGAGUAAUGGGGUCCAUACUAAUCUGACUAUUCUUACUGUUCUUCCUAAGCAGGGACACCAAUUAAGGAUGCUAGCUUAAAAAAAAUUAACAAAACAAAAUCAAAAAACAAGAGAGAGAAACCCAAAUCAAGGAACUAAUCUCCAAAGACCACAACCACUCAGCAUGCUAUCUGGGAGUUCAACAAGUCACCACCAAGAACUUCCCAUGCUUAUGGACAAAAACCCAACCAGAGCCAUUCUCUUAUAUAUCCUGUGUUUAAAAUUUUCUCAAAUUGGCUCCUUAUGAGGUCAAAGCAAGAAAUAGCCAAAUCAUGCCUGGGCAUCACCCCCCAUUGGCCAUCUCCCUUUGGGUCUACAGGACUUUUCCACUUUAGAAUAAAAAUAAGAAAGUACUCCAGAAGAUUUUUCUUCAAUAGGCUAUGGAAAAUGGUAUUUAUUUUUCAAAAAUUAAAAUUUGUACAGUGCUUCAAUGAA
Molecule: non-coding RNA, 2611 nt
Organism: Ictidomys tridecemlineatus (thirteen-lined ground squirrel)
Lineage: Eukaryota; Metazoa; Chordata; Mammalia; Rodentia; Sciuridae
Source: RefSeq, a predicted model, not a curated record